Molecule: long non-coding RNA, 375 nt
Organism: Ictidomys tridecemlineatus (thirteen-lined ground squirrel)
Lineage: Eukaryota; Metazoa; Chordata; Mammalia; Rodentia; Sciuridae
Source: RefSeq, a predicted model, not a curated record
CCAGGCAAUCGCGCUACCGCUUGAGCCACAUCCCCAGCCCCAAGCAUUGUGGUUAUUUAGGCUGUCAGGUGGCCUGAAAAAUCCAUCUUUGCUGGUCAGCACAGCCUCUUUUGGUGAGAAAAGUGACACAAGGAGGCCAUCACAAGUGGAAGAAGGAAGAUGAAAGUCGAAUGGAGUAUGUGAGUCGAUGGAGCUCAGGAGACUAUGGUGUCAAGCUCUGAAAGCUUAAGGCAUCCAGUACUUGGUUUGGAGUGUUUAUGGGCAUAAACGUGAGUUUGUUUAUCAUUAGGAGGCCCUAAGUUGCUGCUCUGCCACUCCAUGACACCUCUUAGAUCCUUGGGACUUCACAGAUUUCAUAAAUUCUUAUUCACUUUA